GGCUUAGAGUUUGAUCAUGGCUCAGGAUGAACGCUGGCGGCGUGCUUAACACAUGCAAGUCGAACGAGAAUCAACGGAUUGAGGAUUCGUCCAAAUGAAGUUGAGGAAAGUGGCGGACGGGUGAGUAACGCGUGAGGAACCUGCCUCGGAGUGGGGAAUAACAGUUGGAAACAGCUGCUAAUACCGCAUAAUGCAACGAAGUCGCAUGACUUUGUUGCCAAAGAUUUAUCGCUCUGAGAUGGCCUCGCGUCUGAUUAGCUAGUUGGCGGGGUAACGGCCCACCAAGGCGACGAUCAGUAGCCGGACUGAGAGGUUGGCCGGCCACAUUGGGACUGAGACACGGCCCAGACUCCUACGGGAGGCAGCAGUGGGGAAUAUUGGGCAAUGGGCGCAAGCCUGACCCAGCAACGCCGCGUGAAGGAAGAAGGCUUUCGGGUUGUAAACUUCUUUUGUCAGGGACGAACAAAUGACGGUACCUGACGAAUAAGCCACGGCUAACUACGUGCCAGCAGCCGCGGUAAUACGUAGGUGGCAAGCGUUAUCCGGAUUUAUUGGGUGUAAAGGGCGUGUAGGCGGGACUGCAAGUCAGAUGUGAAAACCACGGGCUCAACCUGUGGCCUGCAUUUGAAACUGUAGUUCUUGAGUGUCGGAGAGGCAAUCG
Molecule: ribosomal RNA, 661 nt
Filed under: uncultured organism
Description: bacterial SSU rRNA
Rfam family: Bacterial small subunit ribosomal RNA
Source: RNAcentral